This 690-nucleotide small RNA is filed under the name Pongo abelii (Sumatran orangutan). RNAcentral's name for it is "retained intron". The record is from RNAcentral. Lineage: Eukaryota; Metazoa; Chordata; Mammalia; Primates; Hominidae.
GAGACGUGGCCUGGCCCAGACCCCCACUGAUCCAGCCCUUCCCCGAACCCAGGCCCAGUCGGUGCGAGAAGUGUUUGCCCGGCAGCUGAUGCAGGUGCGCGGAGUGAGUGGGGAGAAGGCAGCAGCCCUGGUGGAUCGAUACAGCACCCCCGCCAGCCUCCUGGCCGCUUAUGAUGCUUGUGCCACCCCCAAGGAACAAGAGACACUGCUGAGCACCAUCAAGUGUGGGCGUCUACAGAGGAAUCUGGGGCCUGCUCUGAGCAGGACCUUAUCCCAGCUCUACUGCAGCUACAGCCCUUUGACCUGAGCUUAUGCCGUGAAACAGUCCCCAGCCCCCGUCUGUCCCCCAACCCAGGCUUGCCAGCCUUUUAACAACAUAUUUUGGGGUGCAAUUAGAAUCUAAGUGUUUGCAGCCAUAUUUGUCAUGCGGAAGAUGCCUAGCCCUGGGGACCUUGUGAAAUACGCAGGAACCAGGGAUACCAUCUGGUCCAGUGGUUUUUAAACAAAGCUGCUUAGGACCUGGAAUUCCCUGGUCAGGGAGAUGGAGUCAGUGGGGCAUUGCAGCUUUGAAUCGAUUUUAUGUCACCAGUUGGUCCUCAUCAAAUAAAACUUCCUUAGGAGUGCAGAGGGCUCAUUGGGAAAAUAAAAAUAAUAAAAAUAAAACUUCCUAAAAGAAAAGCUUGAAAACCA